This 28-nucleotide ribosomal RNA is filed under the name Trichoderma harzianum. RNAcentral's name for it is "partial 18S ribosomal RNA". Lineage: Eukaryota; Fungi; Ascomycota; Sordariomycetes; Hypocreales; Hypocreaceae. The record is from RNAcentral.
ACCUCUAUCGAGAAAGCGGAAGGUUCAU